Molecule: long non-coding RNA, 585 nt
Filed under: Bos taurus (domestic cattle)
Lineage: Eukaryota; Metazoa; Chordata; Mammalia; Artiodactyla; Bovidae
Description: long non-coding RNA NONBTAT017782
Source: RNAcentral
AGACUGUCCCAGCAAUCUGUGCAGCGGAAAUCUUCCAGCUGUGCAGUGGGCUCAGGAGUCUGACUUGGCUUUUCUGUAUGUGUUCUGCUAGGGAAUGAGAAAGGCAGACAAGGGGACUGAUGAUGGUGAAAUGUCAAAAUUUAAUCAUCUAGAAGAAUGUGCUACCUUUCAGAUGGUAAAAGAAGAUGCAAGGAGACAGAUAGAGGCUCCAAAAUAUGAGAAAACAUCUAAUCACUCAAAAGACCAUUUUUCAGACAAGUUUAGCUAAGGUCAUAAGUAAGCUUUUAAAUUAUAUGUAGCUUUAUUUCUUCCACCUGGCUAUAAACUAGUCAAUGACUUACUGGGCAACUCCUAAUUCUUAGGGAAAUACUAAAGAUGGGAUAAAUCUUCAAGGAAAGUUUUGACAGACUAAUGUAUCUCCUGGUUCUUUUAGACAACUAUUGAUUUCUAUUUUAUAGUCCUGAGUUUUUCCAUACACGAGAAAUACAGAAAAUGUCAUGCUAAUUCAGAUUGCAGCAUUCAGAUUUCUUUUAAGAUCACUUAGUUUUCCUAGGGUAACUAUCCAGCUUUCACUCUGAAGAACUU